Molecule: ribosomal RNA, 253 nt
Filed under: uncultured bacterium
Lineage: Bacteria
Description: partial 16S ribosomal RNA
Rfam family: Bacterial small subunit ribosomal RNA
Source: RNAcentral
UACGGAGGGUGCACGCGUUAUCCGGAUUCACUGGGUUUAAAGGGUGCGUAGGCGGAUAGGUAAGUCCGUGGUGAAAUCCUGCAGCUUAACUGCAGAACUGCCAUGGAUACUAUUUAUCUUGAAUAUCGUGGAGGUUAGCGGAAUAUGUCAUGUAGCGGUGAAAUGCUUAGAUAUGACAUAGAACACCCAUUGCGAAGGCAGCUAACUACGCGAUAAUUGACGCUGAUGCACGAAAGCGUGGGGAUCAAACAGG